This 443-nucleotide ribosomal RNA is filed under the name uncultured bacterium. RNAcentral's name for it is "partial 16S ribosomal RNA". It matches the Rfam family "Bacterial small subunit ribosomal RNA", at positions 338 to 795 of the family's 1533-position model. The record is from RNAcentral.
CCUACGGGAGGCAGCAGUGGGGAAUAUUGGGCAAUGGAGGAAACUCUGACCCAGUAACGCCGCGUGAAUGAUGAAGGUCUUCGGAUUGUAAAGUUCUUUUCUAAGGGAAGAAGAAAGUGACGGUACCUUAGGAAUAAGCCUCGGCUAACUACGUGCCAGCAGCCGCGGUAAUACGUAGGAGGCAAGCGUUAUCCGGAAUGACUGGGCGUAAAGGGUGCGUAGGUGGUUUGACAAGUUGGUAGCGUAACUCCGAGGCUUAACCUCGGCACUACUACCAAAACUGUUGGACUCGAGUGCAGGAGGGGCAAAUGGAAUUCCGAGUGUAGCGGUGGAAUGCGUAGAUAUUAGGAGGAACACCAGUGGCGAAGGCGAUUUGCUGGACUGUAACUGACACUGAGGCACGAAAGCGUGGGGAGCAAACAGGAUUAGAUACCCCGGUAGUC